RNAcentral lists this ribosomal RNA (775 nucleotides) under uncultured Neocallimastigales. RNAcentral describes it as "partial large subunit ribosomal RNA". It matches the Rfam family "Eukaryotic large subunit ribosomal RNA", at positions 24 to 647 of the family's 3401-position model. The record is from RNAcentral. Lineage: Eukaryota; Fungi; Neocallimastigomycota; Neocallimastigomycetes; Neocallimastigales.
UAUCUCUGUAGAGUCUGCAUAUCAAUAAGCGGAGGAAAAGAAACUAACUAGGAUUCCCUUAGUAACGGCGAGUGAAGCGGGAAGAGCUCAAAUUUGAAAUCUUCAAGGUUCUACCUUGACGAAUUGUAGUUUAAAGAAGUGUUUUCUGUUAGAUGAGUAGCAAAAGUUCCUUGGAAUGGGACAUCAUAGAGGGUGAGAAUCCCGUAUUUGGUUAUUCAUUCUAGCUUUGUGAUACACUUUCAAAGAGUCGGAUUGUUUGGGAAUGCAGUCCAAAAUGGGUGGUAAAUUUCAUCUAAAGCUAAAUAUUGGCGAGAGACCGAUAGCGAACAAGUACCGUGAGGGAAAGAUGAAAAGAACUUUGAAAAGAGAGUUAAACAGUACGUGAAAUUGUCAAAAGGGAAGCGUUUGACACCAGUGUUGUUUUUCCGAAAAUCAAUUACGAAUGGCUUGAUUCUGUGUUGUAUUGACCUUAUCAGCUUUCUGCACUUUUUUCGAGUCUUUCUUAAUGCACUUUUUCGGUUAACAAGUCAACAUCAAUUUCUUUUGUUGUAAAAGAGUAUUCGGAAGGUGGCUUUCUUUUCGGAGAAAGUGUUUAUAGCCCUAUACUUCUACAAUCGGAGAGAUUGAGGUCUGCAGCGUAGAUCCUUCGGGGUUAGAUACACUUGUGCUAAGUUGUAGCUUUUCAUAGACAACUUGUUGACUAUGUUUAGUCAUGCGGCUUACUCGCUUAUGCUAUUUUACCUACGCUUAGGAUGUUGACGAGACUGUCGAUCUC